CAAAAAAUAAUUUAAUAAAAAUAUUAAUUUUGGAAAUUAACAAUAUAAAUUUUAUUUUAUUUUUUUGA
Molecule: transfer RNA, 68 nt
Filed under: Pselaphanus sp. QL-2013
Lineage: Eukaryota; Metazoa; Arthropoda; Insecta; Hymenoptera; Braconidae
Description: tRNA-Pro
Source: RNAcentral